UGCGUAGGCGGUCUGUUAAGUUGGAUGUGAAAACUCUGGGCUCAACCCAGAGCCUGCAUCCAAAACUGGCAGGCUAGAGUUCUGGAGGGGGUAGCGGAAUUCCUGGUGUAGCGGUGAAAUGCGUAGAUAUCAGGAGGAACACCGGUGGCGAAGGCGGCUACCUGGACAGAAACUGACGCUGAGGCACGAAAGCUGGGAGCAAACA
This 205-nucleotide ribosomal RNA is filed under the name uncultured bacterium. RNAcentral's name for it is "partial 16S ribosomal RNA". It matches the Rfam family "Bacterial small subunit ribosomal RNA", at positions 568 to 774 of the family's 1533-position model. The record is from RNAcentral.